AAAGUCGUAACAAGGUAACCGUAGGUGAACCUGCGGUUGGAUCAUUACAAAAUUGGUUUCUUACCAAAACACUGUGUGCACCAUAACUGUUCUUGGCAGCGAACUACUCGGUACUGAGAGUUUUUCAAGGGUUCUGGGUGUCAGUAUGUAAGAGUACGAGCCCAGAUCGCAUGUCACAACUACUCGGUAUUGACCUGCCGAUCGCUGCCGCAUGUCCAAACCUUGUAUUACAAAAUUAUAGUCUGAAUCAGUUCACCACAAAGUGAAAUGAAAAACAACUUUUGACAACGGAUCUCUUGGCUCUC
This 305-nucleotide unclassified non-coding RNA is filed under the name Chytridiomycota sp. Its description in RNAcentral is "partial contains small subunit ribosomal RNA, internal transcribed spacer 1, and 5.8S ribosomal RNA". The stretch from base 1 to 47 matches the Rfam family "Eukaryotic small subunit ribosomal RNA", at positions 1785 to 1831 of the family's 1831-position model. The record is from RNAcentral. Lineage: Eukaryota; Fungi; Chytridiomycota.